Long non-coding RNA from Capsicum annuum, 2685 nucleotides. RefSeq lists it as uncharacterized. The transcript is spliced from 2 exons. NCBI's taxonomy places the organism in Eukaryota, Viridiplantae, Streptophyta, Magnoliopsida, Solanales, Solanaceae. The record is from RefSeq and is a predicted model, not a curated record.
ACAAGUGAGAAAAGAUUUAAAAAAUGGCUACCAGCUUUUUUAAUUGCACAAAGCAAGACAAAAGAUAGAACAUGAAAGAGACAUGAUUAUGAGCAAAAAAAUGGCAUGCAGAAAGUUUUGUCAAACAGAGAAGUCAGGAAACUCAUGGAAAUAUCAAGGUUCAAAGGAUCUAUUUGAGAAGCAUGGCAAAGUAGAGAUACUGUGUUUGUUUUAGUCACUCUUAAUAAUCUAAGCUCGGGUCAAUGAUUCAGCAAGUCAAUGAUAUAUGCUAAUGGUUAGAAGCAAGGUUAAAUGUGAGGAGGGCAAGAGUGAUCGUCGCGAAAGCUAAAACCACAAACCGGCUACCAUGUUUUAAACUCACAAGUUUUCUUUGAUGAAACAGGAAACAUAUUACCUUCAAAGCAGGGACUUCAGAGCAUAAACAUCAAUGGUUGCAAUGCUUCACUUUUACAAAUGCAAAAAGCAAUAUUGCUGCACAGGUUUGAUAUAAAAUCAUGAAGCCCGCCUGAAGAACCAGGGUGAUGAAAUUGCAAGUCAGGAGUCCGCCUGAAGAACAGGGUGAGGAAGAUGAAAGCCAAGCAACAAGGUAAAGAAAUUAAAAGUCGAAAAAUAGCAAGUCAGGAGCCCGCCCAAAGCAUAGGGUGAAUAAAUGAAAAGUCAAUCAACAAGGUGAAGAAGCUAAAAGUUAAACAACAAGGUGAAGAAAUUGAAAGUCAACAAAUGGAAAAAUAACAAGUCAGGAGCCCACCUGAAGAACAGGGUGAUGAAAUGGGAAAUUGAAGAAACUGCAAGUCAGGAACCCGCAUGAAGAAUAGGGUGAUGAAAUUGAAGUACAAAAAAUGGCAAGUCAGAAGCCCACCUGAAGAGCAAGGCGAAUAAAUGAAAGUCGAGCAAUGAAGUGAAGCAAUGGAAAACCAAGCAACAAGUUGAAGAAAUUGCAAGUCAGGGGCCCACCUGAAAAAUAGUGUGAUGAAGUAGCGAGUCAAGCGUCAAGGAAAGCUGCAUAGAUAGGAAUUUUGUAAUUUCAUUUAUAUUUUAACUUGUAAUUUUCAUUUUAAGGUAAUGACAGAGCCGCGGACCGGAACCUCGAUGGAACCUCAUUCGACUCUCCAACUUGAUUUAGUCCAUCUCCGUCCAAUCCUUUGAGAUAUCGAUCACUUGAUUCCCUCAUAACUUGGGUGGGUAGAAUGUCCAUCAAGACUAGGUUGCCCUUCUUCCUUCUGUUUCCUUCCUCGAAUAAUGAUCAGGAAAAAAUUCUGUUUCGUUGUCUACUUAUUUGAAUGAAAACACUUGGUGUUUACAUUCAAAGGAGGCAUGAUGAAGACACGUAAUUUUAUCCCGUUAAUAAUAUUUCUUACUCCAAUAUCACAUAAUUUAACCCCUUUUUUAUAAUUUUUUCCCAAGAAAAUAAAUAACCACCUCAUCUUUUAAUUAUUUAUGUAUUUAUUUUUUUGUUUUGUUUUAUUCAAAUAACAAGUCAUAACAAACUUUGUCUCAUUCUAAUAUUCCAACAAUCCACCCAAUAAAAAAUGGACACCUAACCCCUAGUCCUCCCAUUAAAAAAAAAAUCAACACCACCACCCCUAACCUCACCUACCCUACCCUACCCAUCACGUGACCCCUCCCCCUACCUACUUUCUUUACACGUUUAUUCCAAUUCUAUAUAUACAAAGGAGCAAAGGAAAAGCAAAGAAUGGAAACGCGGAGCCCACAUAAUUAUUCCAUUAGUUUUCCUUCUUGGAUUGUCAAUACAUACACCUAUAUGCAUAUGAAAAAUGAACCUGGACAGAAGGACAAAAAACAAGGGGGGCCCAUUAGGAACUUUCCAGGAAAUACUCCAUUCACACAGUACACAGAUAUCAUAUGUAUACACCAUUGUUUCUUUUCCUUCGGGGGAGACCUGGAGACACCAUCCUCUUCACUCAAAAUAUCGGCACACACAUACGCCCAAUCGCACACACACACACGCAAUCCUCGCCCUUCACAGCUCACUCAAAAUCGCACACUAAUCCGCACAUACCCAAAAAAAUGAAGCCGAUUGAGAGAGAGGGUGACGAAUAGAGAGAAAUAUAGUUAUUUUGGUUUCGGGUUUGUUGCCGGAUUUCGACAUUUUCCGUUAGCUUAUUCCCUUCACAGCUCACCGGAGCUUAGAUUUGGACUGAUUUUGAGCUCUCAGUUAGACUUCGGAGAUGUUAGUUCUCGUUUGCUCGUCAUUCGUCUUCCGAUAUCGUGCAUUUGAAGGUUUUUCAUACCGGGCCGGUCUGUUUUUCUGUUGCUAUUUUGUUGUGGUUUCAUCGGUCUUCGCUACUGAUUUGAAGAUUAGAAUCUCGUUCAUCUCGAAUCGUUAAUCGCGAUCAGUUUUUUGGUCUUCAAUCUUCGAUACCGAAUCUGGGAUUAUCGCAUUUUGGAUUAUUUCUCGACUGAUUUGGAGAGUCGAGAUUUCGUUGGUAUUCUUCGAGGUUCUUGAAUGGGCUCUUAUUUCUCUUAUUAAAUCAAUCGAAAGCUCCCGAGGUCCAAUUCUAACUUUUCUCUUUUUGAUUUUCUCGUAAUUACGAAUGAUUUAAACUUUUCUCUUUUUGAUUUUCUCGUAAUUACGAAUGAUUUGUAUGCUUAAAUGUUUGAAUCCUUGUUUGGGUAUGUGUUCAAUAUUGAUUUCGGAUUUGAAGAAAUAACUUGAUUGUCAAA